RNAcentral lists this ribosomal RNA (3513 nucleotides) under Triticum aestivum (bread wheat). RNAcentral describes it as "partial small subunit ribosomal RNA". The record is from RNAcentral. Lineage: Eukaryota; Viridiplantae; Streptophyta; Magnoliopsida; Poales; Poaceae.
AUGGCGGACCUGGCGGUCGGGCUGUCCAAGACGGUGGUGGCGGAGGCGCUGACCAAGGUGCAGUCGGCCAUCGACGAGGACAACAAGCUCCGGCACAAGGCGCAGCGGGACCUGGUGACCAUCACCCUCGAGUUCGAGAUGAUGCAGUCCUUCCUGAACGUCGCCAACGGCGGGAGGGCCGCCGCCAUGAACAACCUGGUGAGGACCUGGGUGAGGCACGUCCGCGAGCUGGCCUACGACCUGGAGGACUGCGUGGAGUUCGUCGUCCACCUGGACGGCAAGCCGGUCUUCUGGCGCCGCCUGCUCCCGGCGUGCGUGGUCGGCCCGCUGCCGCUGGACCAGGCGGUGGCGGAGAUAGAGGUCAUCAAGGGCAGGGCCGAGGAGCUGAGCGCCUGCUACUCGCGCUACAGCUGCAUCGGCGAGCCUGUCUCCAACCUCGUCAUGCUGCAGCAGCAACAGGCUUCCGGCCGGGCCGCCGACGCAGCAGCGGCCGACAUGCUAGUCGAGGCACGGGAUUCGGCGAAAAGGCAGCAAUUCCUGGGUGAUCUCGCCCAGUUGAUCACCAACAAGGAUAAAGACCUUCAGGUGAUCUCGGUGUGGGGAACAUGCGGUGAUCUUGGGACAACCUCCAUCAUCAGGAAGGCGUACAAUGAUCCGGAGAUCUGCCGGAGCUUCGCCUGCCGCGUCUGGGUGAAGCUCAUGCAUCCUUUCAAUCCCCACGAGUUCGUGCGGCGGUUCAUGGCACAGGUCUACGCCGCAGACGCUUGCGUCGACAAGGAAGGAGCAGAUGUUGGUGUACAUGUCCUGACGAAAAUGGAGGCCAUGCAGGAAGAUGUGGGUGUGCUCAGACGUGAGUUUGUGCAGGAAGUCAACACCAAGACUUACCUCGUUGUGUUGGAGAACCUAACUGACAUGGUAGAUUGGGAUGCUGUGAGGACGUUCCUACCUGACAUGAAGAAUGGCAGCUGGAUCAUCGUGUCGACGCAGCAAUUUGAGAUUGCAAGCCUGUGUAUCGGACAUGCUUACCAACCACUGGAGCUCAAGCAGUACUCACCUGAGCACUCGGUUUGUGCAUUCUUCAAGGAGGGUUCUCAAGACUAUGGACCCAAAGAAGAGAAACCAGUGGUGUGUGAAGUGAGCUCAAAUUUGUCCUUGGAAAAAAUUCCCUCCUCCAAUAUUAAAGGGAUUGAGGACUGGAUGGAAAAUUAUCCCCUUGUUGGACGUGAGUUAGAAAUGAAUGAGCUUCGCAGCUAUACAGCCAGGGCACGUUUCAGCAAUUCUCCAGUUAUCUCUGUUUGGGGGAUAGCUGGCAUUGGGAAAUCAGCUCUUGUUAGAACCUUGUACUAUGACAGAAUGCUUCACAGCAACCAAUUUAACAAGUACAGUUGGGUGGAUGUAUCACAUCCAUUCAAUUUAAGGGAUUUUUCUCGGAGCUUACUUUUGGAUCAUCAUUCAGAAAAGGAUCCCAUUAAAGAGUGCCGGGAGCUACUGAGCCAAAACCAGUGUCUCGUGGUUAUUGAUGAUCUCCAGUCCAAAGAAGAAUGGGACUUAAUACAGUCUGCAUUGGUAUCUAGACCUUCUUCAAGUGUUAUCAUUGUUAUUACAACUGAAGCCAGCGUUGCCACAUAUUGCACAAAUAACGAAGGGCAAGUAUUUAAUGUCAAAGGUCUAGAAGCUGUAGCGGCCAUGGAUCUCUUCAGGAAAGAGGUACAUAGGAAGAAUCCUUCAUCCCCUUUAAAGGACCACGAAGAUAUGGAGCUAGAAGAGCUUAUUUUGAAGUGUGGAGGUCUUCCCAAAGUGAUAGUUUCUAUAGCUGCCUUAUUGGCCACACAGACAGUAACAUUGAUGGAUACUGUUCGCUCAUUGAAUCAAAAAUUUAUGCAGCAUCUAGAGACCAAUCCGGAUUAUGAGUGUCUCAAGGGCCUGUUUGAUUGGAUGCACUCGUACUUCCGUACUUGCCCAGAUUCACUCAAGCCAUGCAUCUUCUACCUGUCAAUUUUUCCUCGGCACCACGGCAUUCGGCAAAGGCGACUAGUAAGGAGGUGGAUUGCAGAAGGUUACUGUAGAGACAGUGAUGAAGAAUCUGCUGUUGACAGAGGGGAGAACUUCUUCUCCAAGCUCCUCGAGCUGAGCAUAAUUCAGCAGAUACCACAGUUAGUCACCACUGCAUACAAUGACACCAGCAUGGUCUCGUGCCAGGUCAAUGGCUUCAUCCGCGAGUACAUUGUCUCGCGCAGAAUGGAAGAGAACCUUGUGUUUGAACUCGGGCCCAAGUGCGUCCUAACCACCCACCGCACAGGGAGACACCUUAUCAUAUUGCGAGACUGGGACAGAGACAAGAUUGUGUUUGAGAGCAUCGACUUCUCACGGCUACGCUCGCUGACAGUGUUUGGAAAGUGGGAAUCAUUCUUCGUCUCCAAAAGUAUGAGGCUGCUUCGGGUGCUUGAUCUGGAGGACGCACUGGGUGUAAAGGAUGAAGAUCUUGAGAAGAUGGUGAAGCGGCUGCGUCGCCUGAAGUUUCUCUCUUUACGAGGAUGCGGUGAGAUAUUCCAUCUGCCAAGCUCGCUCGGCGAUCUCAGGCAGCUCCAGACUCUGGAUGUGAGGCACACCUCCAUACUCAAACUGCCAGCGAGCAUCACAAGGCUACAGAAGCUUCAGUAUAUCCACGCCGGCACCACCGUCCGAGCAUCAGCGCUGCCUGCCCCAUCCAGCAGGUUGCCAAAGUUCCACAGACGCCGCGGCCUGUUUGGUAUCAAGGUGCCCAAAGGGAUCGGAAAACUGACGGCGCUGCACACGCUCGGCGUCGUCGACGUCGGUGCUUCAGGAGGGAAGGCCGUCGUGGAAGAGCUCAGGAAACUCACCCAGCUGCGCAAGCUCGGAGUGUCUGGCAUUAGUAGGCAUAACAGCAAGGACUUCUUCUCUGCAACCUCAGGCCUUGUGCAUCUGGAAUCCUUGCUGGUGCGGCUGGGCAAGGACAGCCAAGGCUGCCUGGACGAAAUCACCCUGCCAUGGGAGAACCUCCGGAGCCUCACACUCCACGGGCUUCAAGACAAGCUGCCACCAUCAGAGAACCUCAGCAAGCUCAUGAAGCUGGAUCUGGAGAUGGACGCCUUAAAGGAAGACGACAUCGAGUUCCUAGCCAACCUAUCGGAGCUAUGCAUCCUGCGUCUCCGAGUCGGACAGCUUCAGGAUGGUAAGCUCCAUUUUCACGCCAAGAUGUAUGGGGAGGAGCUGGUCACCUUCAAGAAGGUGAAGAUCCUCGAGAUCGCCUCCGGCGCCAGCGAGCUACACGUGACCUUCGGGUCGAGGUCGAUGAAGAGCCUCGAGCUGCUGAAGAUCGACUGCUCCAGCGCGUCGUACCAUCUCACGGGCCUGAAUUUUCUGUCCGAGCUCAAGGAGGUCUUGCUCCAGGGUACCAAUGAUGAGGCGAUCAAGAGCAACUUGGAGAGCCAGCUUGCCAACCAUCCCAAGGCGCCUACCGUGAAGCUGGAGGAACUGCCGCGUUCAUCCUGA